RNAcentral lists this ribosomal RNA (511 nucleotides) under uncultured bacterium. Its description in RNAcentral is "bacterial SSU rRNA". It matches the Rfam family "Bacterial small subunit ribosomal RNA", at positions 29 to 518 of the family's 1533-position model. The record is from RNAcentral.
AACGAACGCUGGCGGCGUGCUUAACACAUGCAAGUCGAACGCGAAAGGGACUUCGGUCCUGAGUAAAGUGGCGCACGGGUGAGUAACGCGUAGAUAACCUGUCUUCAUGUCUGGAAUAAUACGCCGAAAGGGGUACUAAUACCGGAUAUUCUUGCUUUUCAUAAGUUAUGCAAGCAAAGGUGGCCUCUGCAUAUGCUACUGCAUGAAGAGGGGUCUGCGUACCAUUAGCUAGUAGGUGGGGUAAUGGCCUACCUAGGCGACGAUGGUUAGCGGGUCUGAGAGGAUGAUCCGCCACACUGGCACUGGAACACGGGCCAGACUCCUACGGGAGGCAGCAGUGAGGAAUAUUGCGCAAUGGGGGAAACCCUGACGCAGCGACGCCGCGUGAGUGAAGGAAGGCCUUCGGGUCGUAAAGCUCUGUCAAGAGGAAAGAAGUGUACAAUGGCUAAUACCUGUUGUAUUUGACGGUACCUCUAAAGGAAGCACCGGCCAACUCCGUGCCAGCAGCGGC